Molecule: ribosomal RNA, 498 nt
Filed under: uncultured bacterium
Lineage: Bacteria
Description: partial 16S ribosomal RNA
Rfam family: Bacterial small subunit ribosomal RNA
Source: RNAcentral
AUUGAACGCUGGCGGCAUGCCUUACACAUGCAAGUCGAACGGUAACAGGUCUUCGGAUGCUGACGAGUGGCGAACGGGUGAGUAAUACAUCGGAACGUGCCUAGUAGUGGGGGAUAACUACUCGAAAGAGUGGCUAAUACCGCAUGAGAUCUACGGAUGAAAGCAGGGGAUCGCAAGACCUUGUGCUACUAGAGCGGCCGAUGGCAGAUUAGGUAGUUGGUGGGAUAAAAGCUUACCAAGCCGACGAUCUGUAGCUGGUCUGAGAAGACGAUCAGCAACACUGGGACUGAGACACGGCCCAGACUCCUACGGGAGGCAGCAGUGGGGAAUUUUGGACAAUGGGCGCAAGCCUGAUCCAGCAAUGCCGCGUGCAGGAUGAAGGCCUUCGGGUUGUAAACUGCUUUUGUACGGAACGAAAAGCCCCGGGUUAAUACCCUGGGGUCAUGACGGUACCGUAAGAAUAAGCACCGGCUAACUACGUGCCAGCCGCCGCAGUAA